GAGAGAAGUGAUGAGAUCAUAUCCACACGAGAUAUCUGCAUUCAUUAUGAUGAUCACUAUCAUGCACUACCAUCUGAUCUCUC
This 83-nucleotide small nucleolar RNA is filed under the name Setaria italica (foxtail millet). The record is from RNAcentral. RNAcentral also lists the same sequence under 1 other name. Lineage: Eukaryota; Viridiplantae; Streptophyta; Magnoliopsida; Poales; Poaceae.